UUACGAAAACUUGGCAAUGCGGGAAACCGCGACCAGGGGACUCCAAGUGCUAAUACUUUGUAUUAGCUGUUCUUCUGUCUAAAAAACAGGAGAAGUAAGGGCUGGGUAAGACGGGUGCCAGCCGCCGCGGUAAUACCCGCAGCCCGAGUGGUGGUCAUUAUUAUUGAGCCUAAAGCGUCCGUAGCCGGACUCGUAAAUCCUUGGGUAAAUCGGGCAGCUUAACUGUCCGAAUUCCGAGGAGACUGCGAGUCUUGGGACCGGGAGAGGUCAGAGGUACUCCAGGGGUAAGGGCUAAAUCUUGUAAUCCUUGGGGGACCACCAGUGGCGAAGGCGUCUGACUAGAACGGAUCCGACGGUAAGGGACGAAACCCUGGGGCGCAAACGGG
Molecule: ribosomal RNA, 386 nt
Filed under: uncultured euryarchaeote
Lineage: Archaea; Methanobacteriati; Methanobacteriota
Description: bacterial SSU rRNA
Rfam family: Archaeal small subunit ribosomal RNA
Source: RNAcentral